CCGGCGCACGGGUGAGUAACGCGUAUCCAACCUGCCCAUUACAGGGGAAUAACCUUGCGAAAGUAAGACUAAUGCCCCAUGGUAUUCUCAGCAGACAUCUAAUGAGGAUUAAAGAUUUAUCGGUAAUGGAUGGGGAUGCGUCUGAUUAGCUUGUUGGCGGGGUAACGGCCCACCAAGGCAACGAUCAGUAGGGGUUCUGAGAGGAAGGUCCCCCACAUUGGAACUGAGACACGGUCCAA
This 239-nucleotide ribosomal RNA is filed under the name uncultured Bacteroidales bacterium. Its description in RNAcentral is "partial 16S ribosomal RNA". It matches the Rfam family "Bacterial small subunit ribosomal RNA", at positions 95 to 334 of the family's 1533-position model. Lineage: Bacteria; Pseudomonadati; Bacteroidota; Bacteroidia; Bacteroidales. The record is from RNAcentral.